UACGUAGGGUGCAAGCGUUGUCCGGAAUUAUUGGGCGUAAAGAGCUCGUAGGCGGUCUGUUACGUCUGCUGUGAAAACCCGGGGCUUAACCCUGGGCUUGCAGUGGAUACGGGCAGACUAGAGGCAGGUAGGGGAGAAUGGAAUUCCCGGUGUAGCGGUGAAAUGCGCAGAUAUCGGGAGGAACACCGGUGGCGAAGGCGGUUCUCUGGGCCUGACCUGACGCUGAGGAGCGAAAGCGUGGAGAGCGAACAGG
This 253-nucleotide ribosomal RNA is filed under the name uncultured bacterium. Its description in RNAcentral is "partial 16S ribosomal RNA". It matches the Rfam family "Bacterial small subunit ribosomal RNA", at positions 524 to 776 of the family's 1533-position model. The record is from RNAcentral.